UGCUGGGUAUUAUUAGGAGUAAUAUGGAAUAAAAGAAGAGCUGGAAAAGAGCUGGAAAAAUAGAGUAAAUUUGAUCAAAAAAAAAAGAAAAAGAAAAAUAGAGUAAAUUGUUUUCCUCUAACUAAAGUCAAAGUAAAAUUGUGUGUAUGUUUUUUCUUUUUAGAAUAAUAACUAGAGUAAAUAAGUGAAAUAGUAUUUCACUUGAUUGAUAUUUUUUCAAUGGAAUUUGGAGUAAUAUAAAUUUUGGAGUAAACAAUUAUUCUAUAAUGAUCUUGAUUUUUCAACAAAUAAAUAAACACACGCUUUCCAUAUAGAACUUUCAGAUCACUUUAAGUAAGUACUCGGUAAACAAUUAAACAUGGCUUAGUACUUAAAACUAGUUUACCACGGAAUGGACUUUGAGUAUAUAUUAGAAAGAAAAAAAAUAUCUUAAUUUACUAAUUUUGUGUGCAGCUAAAUAACAUUGGACUAUUGACAUUUGAAGCAAAGUCAAAUGAGAAAUGGAGUUAGGCGAGUUAAAGACGCUGCUUUAGGAUUUUACCACAUUUUGUCUUAAGAUUGAGGAGUAGUCAAAGAGACGUCUUUCCUUUGUCCAUCACUACGACUGAUAUAUAUUUACACAAACGGUAAGACAUUUUGAGUUAUUUUCAACAACAUUUUAUCGUACUUUUUUCUUUUGUUGAACAUUUUAUCGUGCGUUGGGAUUAAUAAAGCUAUGUACGUAAAUGUAUGAAGAAUAAUACAACAAAUGUUUUGUUGCUAAAACUUGCCGUAAGAUAAUAAUAAUACUUUCAGUGUUUGCCGUAAAAAGUACGUGCAAUCUCG
RNAcentral lists this long non-coding RNA (825 nucleotides) under Brassica rapa (field mustard). RNAcentral describes it as "long non-coding RNA (BRAP_LNC008594)". Lineage: Eukaryota; Viridiplantae; Streptophyta; Magnoliopsida; Brassicales; Brassicaceae. The record is from RNAcentral.